UUGGCCCUGAAUCAAGGCCGGUAGCUUCCUGAUGAUGUUGGUUUCAAGCAGGAGUCUUUCUAUGGUGUGUUGGCCACUUUAGGACUUGGACAGUGAAAUGGUCAAUUCAUUAAAAAGAAACAGCU
Cavia aperea (Brazilian guinea pig) is the source of this 125-nucleotide small nucleolar RNA. NCBI's taxonomy places the organism in Eukaryota, Metazoa, Chordata, Mammalia, Rodentia, Caviidae. The record is from Ensembl.